CUAAAUACUCUGAAUGCUUCAGAGAUGAUGAUUUUAUUAUAUUUCUCAAAGCUCUAUUUCUUAACUAAUCUGAAUUCUAACUCUAGAUCACUAAUUCUAACUCAUAACUACUUUUCAGGUGUUUGAAGAGCUCUGAAUAUUGAAAUAUAACAACUGAUUAAUAAUAUAUACUAAGAAUGUAUAAAAGAUGUUUAGUAUGUAUAGAUUUUAGUGAGAGAGUGAAGAACUGAGCAUGGUUUGUUUUUCAGACUCACUUUUUUUUAAACCACAUUCAACUUUUUAUUAAUCAUGUAACCCAUUCCAGGGCCAUCAACAACAUGUGCUUCACAAUGAUAAUAAUAGCGGGUUUGGCUGGUACUCUGUACAUGGACGGUGGCAUCCGCUAGUUAACGUCCUUAUUGUAUCUUUCCGCACACUUUCUCCGUUUCAUAUAAUACAGAGGUAUUGAUAGUCGUUUGUACCAGCAGAUUACAGAGUGCUGGGGAGGAACUUCAGAGAAGAGAACGUAAGGCGUGCUGUUGGAUCAUUGACAUCGGGGGGAAUAUGGUGUUUGACUUCUCUCUUUUCAUCUGCUUUUCGUUGUAUUCUUUUAGCUUUCUAGUUGUUCUUAUUUCAACCUUUAUUAUUACUGAAGGCUUCUGGAGGUGUUGUAUAGAAUUAACUAUGUAAUAUAUUAUUUCUUUGAUUUAUCACCGAGAGGAUGAUAUUUUGAAGCCUAUCAUGCCGUCAUUAUGUGUCGCACAUACUAGUAUGUACUCACUUAUACAUGUGUUUCCUCUUUUUUCUCACAUCCUUCGUCAGUUUUCAUUAAUCGUGCCGUUCCUACAGGUGAGAGAUAAUCUCGACCCCACCUUCCCCCUGCCCUCCAGACACCCAAUGGAUCUGAUUCUGAUAGUCCCUGAACCAUAAUAAACCUCGUAGACACGCUUGACACCAAAACAAUCCAUUUGCGCCUGAGACUUAUGCAUCUCCUUUAACCUCGGUGGAACCCUUCUUCGUAACAAGGCGAAACCCACCAAACAGGAAUGCAAGUCCCUGAAGCGCCAGGAUGACGGCUAAAGCCACAAAUGCACCCACAACACCGGCCUCCGUUCUGGACAGGCCACCACUGCUACCAGAACCGGCCGAAGAUGCAUUUAGGCCAUCAUCCGCGCUGCUUCCGGCAGCGCAGCGCUCUGGAGUCGCGUUGCAAGCUUUGCAGAAUUCCUCCUCUGAGGAAAUGGCAAUCUGCUUCAUGUUGGACUCGAAUUCAGACCACGGCAUGAGCGUUUUCGAUUGACCGAAGAGCGGGUAUGCGGCCGGCUGGGUGUCAGGGGAGUUGGGGACUACGCUGCCAUUGCGGAAGAGAAAGCGGACGCUGAUGUCGGAUCGGCUGGGGAAUGGAUCAGACGGCGAGGUCGUCGCGUUGGUCACCAGCUCAAAUGCCAUGCUUGACGCGUAGUCCGGAAUGCCGGUGAAUUCAGGCUUCGUCUCUGCGAGCUUUGUGAGGCCGAAGAAGGAAAGGAAGAUAGCGUAGGCACCAAAUUGGACGCUGAGUUUGGCCUUCGCACCAGCCGUGUCGAUUAGCUCAUUGAAGCUGGAGAGCACUUCACCAGCCAAGAGCGAGCCACUAACUGCCCGGAUAGGGGAGGUUGCGUUGUACGCAAGGUUGAAUUCAUAUAUGUUUGCCAGAUCCUGGAGACGGGUAAAUGUUUCCUUCGACGGCAGUUUGUCAUCUGGCAGUGAGUCGGUUGUGUUAUGGAUCCUGGCAACGUUAAGGAGAUCGAAGACCAAGUACGCAUUCCCGAAGUUAACCUUUGAUUCUGGAAAUGUCCGCCCCACCAUGGGUGCGACGGACUUGUAGAAACCGGCAGUCGACUGGAGCAGCUCCUGGAACUCCUUCGAUUGACGGUACUCGCUGCUGCUGACCUUGGCUUUUUGACACUUGGUUGCGCUUUGCAGCCAGGCCACAUUCUCGCUGUUGCCGCCUGUUGACACUUGCUCGACAGCAAUGAGCUGAUACCCGUUCAUAGGAGCCUCGACGACAGUGCCAUUGCGAAGAGUGGAAGUGGCAACAUUGCCAACGGGCGGGUAGACAGCUUGCAAGAACCCAAUAGCGGAUUUCUGCAGCACCUCGUCCUCGGGUGCAGAUGCUAGGAGCUGGUGUGGUUGUACAAUGUCUGGGCUUAUACCGAGGAUGCGCGAGUCGGAUGAAGCCGCGAUAUAGCGAUUAUGAUAGUAAGAGCCAGUGUUGAAUACCUGCUGGUAGCCCAAAGUGGUUAACUCGGUGGGAGGCGUAGAUUUUGACGUGCGGUCUCCAUGGCGGGCAAAGACAUAGACUCCCAAUACUGUCUCUGCAGAAGCCUGCAGGCCAAAAACGGCGAGAGAUGCCAGGGCCAACAUCGCCGAGGAAAGUUGUAUGGGCUGGGAGCGCAUGACGGCAAGCUGACUCUAGGUUGCGGGGUACGGUGUGAUGCAAUUGGGUUCUCGCGCCUGGAAGAGGAUUGAAUGCCUAGGGCUAGGGAGUAUUAUCGGCGAAAGAAGGGAGUGGAAGAACGAGCAGAAGAACGAGCAGAAGAACGAGGUGAGCCAGAAUGUACGGGAAGGGUGACCAAGCGAAUGUUUUAUGUUGCCAGGAACCAUGUCACAGAGAAAGCAAACGAGGAGA
This 2647-nucleotide small RNA is filed under the name Histoplasma capsulatum var. duboisii H88. RNAcentral describes it as "Histoplasma capsulatum H88 hypothetical RNA". The record is from RNAcentral. Lineage: Eukaryota; Fungi; Ascomycota; Eurotiomycetes; Onygenales; Ajellomycetaceae.